RNAcentral lists this ribosomal RNA (484 nucleotides) under uncultured bacterium. Its description in RNAcentral is "partial 16S ribosomal RNA". It matches the Rfam family "Bacterial small subunit ribosomal RNA", at positions 30 to 507 of the family's 1533-position model. The record is from RNAcentral.
AGUGAACGCUGGCGGCAGGCCUAACACAUGCAAGUCGAGCGGCAGCGCGGGGGCAACCCUGGCGGCGAGCGGCGGACGGGUGAGGAAUUCGUCGGAAUCUGCCUUUUUGUGGGGGAUAACGUAGGGAAACUUACGCUAAUACCGCAUACGUCCUACGGGAGAAAGUGGGGGACCGCAAGGCCUCACGCAGAAGGAUGAGCCGACGACCGAUUAGCUAGUUGGUGGGGUAAAGGCCCACCAAGGCGACGAUCGGUAGCUGGUCUGAGAGGAUGAUCAGCCGCACUGGGACUGAGACACGGCCCAGACUCCUACGGGAGGCAGCAGUGGGGAAUAUUGGACAAUGGGCGCAAGCCUGAUCCAGCCAUGCCGCGUGUGUGAAGAAGGCCUUCGGGUUGUAAAGCACUUUUGUCCGGAAAGAAAUCCCUGGAGCUAAUACCUUCGGGGGAUGACGGUACCGGAAGAAUAAGCACCGGCUAACUUCGUG